This 732-nucleotide ribosomal RNA is filed under the name uncultured Corynebacterium sp. Its description in RNAcentral is "bacterial SSU rRNA". It matches the Rfam family "Bacterial small subunit ribosomal RNA", at positions 28 to 776 of the family's 1533-position model. Lineage: Bacteria; Bacillati; Actinomycetota; Actinomycetes; Mycobacteriales; Corynebacteriaceae. The record is from RNAcentral.
GACGAACGCUGGCGGCGUGCUUAACACAUGCAAGUCGAACGGAAAGGCCCUUUCGGAGGUACUCGAGUGGCGAACGGGUGAGUAACACGUGGGUGAUCUGCCCUGCACUCUGGGAUAAGCCUGGGAAACUGGGUCUAAUACCGGAUAGGACUGCACUUUAGUGUGUGUGGUGGAAAGUUUUUUCGGUGUAGGAUGAGCCCGCGGCCUAUCAGCUUGUUGGUGGGGUAAUGGCCUACCAAGGCGGCGACGGGUAGCCGGACUGAGAGGUUGGUCGGCCACAUUGGGACUGAGAUACGGCCCAGACUCCUACGGGAGGCAGCAGUGGGGAAUAUUGCACAAUGGGCGCAAGCCUGAUGCAGCGACGCCGCGUGGGGGAUGACGGCCUUCGGGUUGUAAACUCCUUUCGCCAGGGACGAAGCGUUUUGUGACGGUACCUGGAGAAGAAGCACCGGCUAACUACGUGCCAGCAGCCGCGGUAAUACGUAGGGUGCAAGCGUUGUCCGGAAUUACUGGGCGUAAAGAGCUCGUAGGUGGUUUGUCACGUCGUCUGUGAAAUUCCACAGCUUAACUGUGGGCGUGCAGGCGAUACGGGCUGACUUGAGUACUGUAGGGGUAACUGGAAUUCCUGGUGUAGCGGUGAAAUGCGCAGAUAUCAGGAGGAACACCGAUGGCGAAGGCAGGUUACUGGGCAGUUACUGACGCUGAGGAGCGAAAGCAUGGGUAGCAACCAGG